CUGUCCUCGCGCUUCUGCCCGGUGGACAUCGACGAAUUUGACGAGAACAAAUUUGUGGACGAGCAGGAGGCGGCGGCGGCAGCGGAGCCAGGCCCGGACCCCAGCGAGGUGGACCGGCUUCUGCGGCAAGGGGACAAGCUUCGGGCAUUCCACGCAGGCCUGCGGAGCUCUCCCGUCAACACCGAGAAUCAAGCCGGGAAGGAAAGAGCCCAGGGUGUGGCGCUGAAAGUGCUCACAAACUUGGAGAGCAGCGCGAUUGAGCUGGCUGUGCAGUCACUGGACAGAAACGGCGCUGACUUGUUAAUGAAGUACAUUUAUAAAGAAGCCCACAGAAAAGAGCAGCGCAGUGCUGCUCCAGUGGCAUGAAAAGGCCUUAGCAGUAGGAGGACGAGGCUCCAUUAUAAGAGUUCUUACAGCAAGAAAGGCUGUUUAAAAAAAUUAAAAGACUUGUGUUACCUUGAGAAGAAUUCUGGAUGCCCGGACAGGUGAAGAAGGGAUUGACAAUGGACCAUCUUCCUAGGAACUCCCAACUAAACUAUUUCAGGACAUGUAGCUGCUGAAAUGUAUUUUAUUUUCAAGGUGGAGGGGAAAAUCGUCUGUUUCCUAAAUCCUGUGCAGGAUCUGAUUGUCUAUGCCUUUGUCUCUGAGUACUGCCGAACUGACAUUUUGUCUGUGAGUGGUGGCUGGCAUUGGUCAGGCGCACCUGUGAGCACUGGGGGAGGGAUGGUUUGGGCAGGUGCAGAUCCAAGGGCUGUGGUAAAUGGGAGAGCUUGUGUUUUUGAAGUGGGAAAAACCAAGAGUUUGUACAGACAUCCUGUCUUCCAGAGAAGGAGGACGCUCUCGGGCUCACUGUAAAGUGCCUGCUGCAUCAACAAAGCUCUUGGCUUAUUAGU
Cebus imitator (Panamanian white-faced capuchin) is the source of this 893-nucleotide RNA transcript. It is a transcript of the gene named actin-related protein 2/3 complex subunit 5-like protein, with no coding region annotated. The record is from RefSeq and is a predicted model, not a curated record. Lineage: Eukaryota; Metazoa; Chordata; Mammalia; Primates; Cebidae. The transcript has a single exon.